GAUGAACGCUGGCGGCGUGCCUAAUACAUGCAAGUCGAGCGAACAGAUGAGGAGCUUGCUCCUCUGACGUUAGCGGCGGAUGGGUGAGUAACACGUGGAUAACCUACCUAUAAGACUGGGAUAACUUCGGGAAACCGGAGCUAAUACCGGAUAAUAUAUUGAACCGCAUGGUUCAAUAGUGAAAGACGGUUUUGCUGUCACUUAUAGAUGGAUCCGCGCCGCAUUAGCUAGUUGGUAAGGUAACGGCUUACCAAGGCGACGAUGCGUAGCCGACCUGAGAGGGUGAUCGGCCACACUGGAACUGAGACACGGUCCAGACUCCUACGGGAGGCAGCAGUAGGGAAUCUUCCGCAAUGGGCGAAAGCCUGACGGAGCAACGCCGCGUGAGUGAUGAAGGUCUUCGGAUCGUAAAACUCUGUUAUUAGGGAAGAACAAAUGUGUAAGUAACUAUGCACGUCUUGACGGUACCUAAUCAGAAAGCCACGGCUAACUACGUG
This 497-nucleotide ribosomal RNA is filed under the name uncultured bacterium. RNAcentral describes it as "partial 16S ribosomal RNA". It matches the Rfam family "Bacterial small subunit ribosomal RNA", at positions 28 to 507 of the family's 1533-position model. The record is from RNAcentral.